Molecule: ribosomal RNA, 252 nt
Filed under: uncultured bacterium
Lineage: Bacteria
Description: partial 16S ribosomal RNA
Rfam family: Bacterial small subunit ribosomal RNA
Source: RNAcentral
UACGUGAGGGGCGAACGUUGUUCGGUGUCACUGGGCUUAAAGGGUGCGUAGGUGGUUGCGUAAGUAAGGUGUGAAAUCCCUCGGCUUACCCGGGGAAUUGCAUUUUAUACUGCGUGGCUUGAGGACUAAAGGGGAAAAGGGAACUCCAGGUGUAGCGGUGAAAUGCGCAGAUAUCUGGGGGAAGGCCGGCGGCGAAGGCGCUUUUCUGGUUAGUACCUGACACUGAGGCACGAAAGCGUGGGGAGCAACAGG